CUACGUCUAGCAAAUUUCACACGUGAAUUAUACCGUCACAAAAAAAAGGAAUUAUAACUUCCCCUAGCAUUCCCAUUUCCCACUCGCUCUCUGAGAAUCAGUGCCUUGUGAAAUACAAGAGAGGGACCCCAAGAUACAAGAUACAAGAUAAGAGCUUGAUAGAUAUAGAGCUACGUUUCUCUAUGCAUUUCUCUGAACUAGUAUACCGUCGAAAUAUUAUAUAUCUGUGGUGUCUCGAAUUAUAGGCUACCUUCAAUCACAAACAUGGCAGCCGCCUUGAAACAUUCACGAAGUAUGUGGUCAGGCCGAAGAUUACUAAAUUCCCUGGCGUCUAGACUACAAAAUGAAAUUGGGAACGGUACUAAACGGCCUAUAGCACGCAAAUAUCACCUUGAUGCAAUCCCUACAAUUGGCACAGCGGUCGAUAAAAACUCAGCUGAUUUUCAAGAAAAUCAUGAACGAAUGGUGACACUCAUUGAUGAGUUGAAAAGCAAAAUCAACACGAUCGUUGAAGGAGGUGGCGAAAAGGCAAAGCAGAAACAUCUAUCCCGGGGCAAGCUAUUAGUCCGUGAUAGAAUAAAUCACCUUUUAGAUCCUGGCUCACCAUUUUUAGAGUUUUCUCAGCUUGCAGCAUAUAACCUCUAUGGUAAAGAAGAAGUGCCAGCCGGUGGGAUUAUUACUGGAAUAGGCCGUGUGGCAGGCACGGAAUGCCUGAUAGUUGGGAAUGAUGCUACAGUAAAGGGAGGAAGUUAUUAUCCAAUCACCGUAAAGAAACACCUUAGAGCUCAAGAAAUCGCUGCACAGAACAACCUGCCAUGUAUAUAUUUAGUUGAUUCUGGUGGAGCCAAUCUUCCUCGCCAAGCAGAUGUCUUCCCAGACAGAGAUCAUUUCGGUAGGAUAUUCUACAACCAAGCACAGAUGUCUGCUGCUAACAUUUCACAGAUAGCUGUUGUUAUGGGAAGCUGCACAGCAGGUGGCGCUUAUGUACCAGCAAUGGCAGAUGAGAGCAUCAUAGUCAAAGGGCAAGGUACUAUCUUCCUUGCUGGCCCGCCGCUGGUAAAGGCAGCAACAGGUGAAGAGGUAUCUGCUGAAGAUCUUGGCGGUGCGGAUUUGCACUGCGGGAAGUCCGGAGUCACUGAUUACUACGCUACCGAUGACAUGCAUGCGGUACAUCUGUGCAGACGCAUCGUACGAGGCCUUAACAAGACCAAGCAGCCAGAGGUGACGGUCUGGGAGCCAGAAGCGCCGGUGCUGCCAGCCGAAGAUCUCUAUGGCAUCGUCGGCGAUAACCUCAUGAAGACAUUCGACGUACGGGAGGUGAUCGCGAGAAUCGUCGACGGCAGCAAGUUUGACGAGUUCAAGGCCAUGUACGGAGAUUCCAUCAUCACAGGUUUUGCUAGGAUUUACGGAUAUCCGGUGGGCAUCGUGGGAAACAAUGGCGUGUUGUUUGCGGAGUCUGCACUGAAGUGCACUCACUUCAUUGAACUAUGCUGCAAGCGCAAGAUUCCGCUCGUGUUCCUGCAAAAUAUAACAGGAUUCAUGGUUGGCAAGGAUGCUGAGGCUGGUGGAAUCGCGAAGCACGGUGCCAAGAUGGUCACGGCCGUCGCGUGCGCAAAAGUACCAAAGUUCACUGUGAUUAUUGGUGGCUCGUACGGCGCGGGCAACUACGGCAUGUGUGGACGGGCGUACGGCCCGAGGUUCCUGUACAUGUGGCCUAAUGCACGCAUCUCUGUGAUGGGCGGACCACAGGCUGCGGGCGUGCUCGCUCAGAUCACUAAGGACCAACGACAACGUGAAGGAAAGCCGUGGACAGAAGAAGAGGAGAAAGCCCUGAAAGAUCCAAUCAUUAAGAGAUUCGAGGCGGAAGGAAGCCCUUACUUCUCCAGUGCAAGGCUGUGGGACGACGGCGUCAUUGAUCCAGCCGACACGCGCACCGUGCUCGGACUCAGUCUGUCCGCCUCGCUGAACGCACCCAUCCCGGAGACGAAGUUCGGCGUGUUCCGCAUGUAAGCAGCCGUGAUGCUGCGAUGGCAGGAAAAUCUACGGAGAUCGGGAUAGUCAGGGCUAGCUGGAAGAUAUACGGAGGUUGGGAUGGUCAGUGCAAAACAGGAAAAUCUACGGGGUUCGGGAUGGUCAGGGAUAGCAGGAUCACCUACGGAGGUUGGGAUAGUCAGGGAUAGCAGGAUGACCUACGGAGGUUGGGAUAGUCAGGGAUAGCAGGAAGAUAUACGGAGGUUGGGAUAGUUAGGGAUAGCAGGAAGAUCUACAGAGAUCGCGAUGAUCAGUGCUAUCAGGAGCGAGUAGCGUUGUGGGAGUUAGUGCGGCGGAAAAGGGGGAGACAAUGGAAUCUGUAGAGACUGGUGACACGUAAAUGUCGGGUGAGGAAUUGGUGUGAUUCCGCAGAGGAGUAGGCGGCCUUUUCAUAGACUGUUCUGUGGAUUCAUGAUAACAAACGAGGACCAGAAAUUGCAUGAUGGCACAGUAGUCGGUACAGUAUUGGUUAGACAUUAGCCCGUUGUAUUAAUUAGCUUUAAUUACAGACAGUUUAUAUUUUAGAUGAAAACUUGUUUGAGAUUAGAAUGAUAGUGAGGAAACGACUCCAUGUUACUGUUAUCAUGUAGAUUAAACAGAAAUGCAGUCAAAAAUUCGUUA
Molecule: unclassified non-coding RNA, 2652 nt
Filed under: Priapulus caudatus
Lineage: Eukaryota; Metazoa; Priapulida; Priapulimorpha; Priapulimorphida; Priapulidae
Description: methylcrotonoyl-CoA carboxylase beta chain, mitochondrial-like, transcript variant X2
Source: RNAcentral